UCUACAAAUGCUGUCUUCCUACCUCAGAUUGUGAUGGAUCUAGAAUGCGACAUCGUUUAUGAAUAAGUCAAGAACCAAAUGAAACACACUAUUUUCCAGAGUACAGAUUAUGGAGGGGUCUGCAAAACUAAUGGAGAAGUUUCUUCUUCUUGGAGUGCCACAGCUUGAUGCUGCAUAUAAGGACUUAGUGAAGGACACAGAAACAUCUUUAAAAGAAAUGGCCCAAUAGAAGGGAAGGAAAGAAGCUUGAAGUGUCAGCAUUACGAUGGCCAACACUCGCUCACUAUCCUUCUGCUCCCUCAUUUAUCAGAGGCACCACAGUAGAAUGAAUUAGCAAUUACUCUUCACUUUCCAGCCGCAACCCAGCACUGGGAAACACCCAUACACUCUCUCAUACACCUGCACACGUUCACUUACUAUGGCCAAUUCACCAAUACCGUACGCAUGCCUUUGGACUGUGGGGGCAACUG
Molecule: non-coding RNA, 470 nt
Organism: Danio rerio (zebrafish)
Lineage: Eukaryota; Metazoa; Chordata; Actinopteri; Cypriniformes; Danionidae
Source: RefSeq, a predicted model, not a curated record